CCCAAGCCCAAACUGCUCUGCCCUCC
RNAcentral lists this non-coding RNA (26 nucleotides) under Rattus norvegicus (Norway rat). The record is from RNAcentral. Lineage: Eukaryota; Metazoa; Chordata; Mammalia; Rodentia; Muridae.